UACGGGGGGGGCAAGCGUUGUUCGGAAUUACUGGGCGUAAAGGGCUCGUAGGUGGCCAACUAAGUCAGACGUGAAAUCCCACGGCUUAACCGGGGAACUGCGUCUGAUACUGGAUGGCUUGAGUGUGGGAGAGGGAUGCGGAAUUCCAGGUGUAGCGGUGAAAUGCGUAGAUAUCUGGAGGAACACCGGUGGCGAAGGCGGCAUCCUGGACCACGACUGACGCUGAGUGAGCGAAAGCCAGGGGAGCAAACGGG
Molecule: ribosomal RNA, 254 nt
Filed under: uncultured bacterium
Lineage: Bacteria
Description: partial 16S ribosomal RNA
Rfam family: Bacterial small subunit ribosomal RNA
Source: RNAcentral